RNAcentral lists this ribosomal RNA (497 nucleotides) under uncultured bacterium. RNAcentral describes it as "partial 16S ribosomal RNA". It matches the Rfam family "Bacterial small subunit ribosomal RNA", at positions 28 to 507 of the family's 1533-position model. The record is from RNAcentral.
GACGAACGCUGGCGGCGUGCCUAAUACAUGCGAGUUGAGCGCUGAAGGUUGGUACUUGUACCAACUGGAUGAGCAGCGAACGGGUGAGUAACGCGUGGGGAAUCUGCCUUUGAGCGGGGGACAACAUUUGGAAACGAAUGCUAAUACCGCAUAAAAACUUUAAACACAAGUUUUAAGUUUGAAAGAUGCAAUUGCAUCACUCAAAGAUGAUCCCGCGUUGUAUUAGCUAGUUGGUGAGGUAAAGGCUCACCAAGGCGAUGAUACAUAGCCGACCUGAGAGGGUGAUCGGCCACAUUGGGACUGAGACACGGCCCAAACUCCUACGGGAGGCAGCAGUAGGGAAUCUUCGGCAAUGGACGAAAGUCUGACCGAGCAACGCCGCGUGAGUGAAGAAGGUUUUCGGAUCGUAAAACUCGGUUGGUAGAGAAGAACGUUGGUGAGAGUGGAAAGCUCAUCAAGUGACGGUAACUACCCAGAAAGGGACGGCUAACUACGUC